This 455-nucleotide ribosomal RNA is filed under the name uncultured bacterium. RNAcentral's name for it is "SSU rRNA". It matches the Rfam family "Bacterial small subunit ribosomal RNA", at positions 26 to 518 of the family's 1533-position model. The record is from RNAcentral.
AGGAUGAACGCUGGCGGCGUGCCUAAUACAUGCAAGUCGAGCGGUAAGGCCACUUCGGUGGUACACGAGCGGCGGACGGCUGAGUAACACGUAGGAACGUACCCCAAACUGAGGGAUAAGCAUCGGAAACGAUGUCUAAUACCGCAUGUGAUCUUCGGAUUAAAGCUCCGGCGCUUUGGGAACGGCCUGCGCAUGAUUAGCUUGUUGGUGAGGUAAAAGCUCACCAAGGCAGUGAUCAUUAGCUGGUCUGAGAGGAUGACCAGCCAGACUGGGACUGAGAACGGCCCAGACUCCUACGGGAGGCAGCAGUAGGGAAUUUUCCACAAUGGGCGAAAGCCUGAUGGAGCAACGCCGCGUGCAGGAUGAAGGCUCUAGGGUCGUAAACUGCUUUUAUCUGUGACGAAUAUGACGGUAGCAGAUGAAUAAGGAUCGGCUAACUCCGUGCCAGCAGCCGC